Molecule: ribosomal RNA, 255 nt
Filed under: uncultured bacterium
Lineage: Bacteria
Description: partial 16S ribosomal RNA
Rfam family: Bacterial small subunit ribosomal RNA
Source: RNAcentral
UACAGAGGUCUCAACCGUUGUUCGGAUUCAUUGGGCGUAAAGGGUGCGUAGGCGGUCGCGCAAGUCGGAUGUGAAAUCUCAGGGCUCAACCCUGAAACUGCAUUCGAUACCUGCGUGGCUAGAGUGCUGGAGAGGAGACUGGAAUUUACGGUGUAGCAGUGAAAUGCGUAGAUAUCGUAAGGAAGACCAGUGGCGAAGGCGAGUCUCUGGACAGCAACUGACGCUGAGGCACGAAGGCCCAGGGGAGCAAACGGG